Molecule: ribosomal RNA, 392 nt
Filed under: Selaginella moellendorffii
Lineage: Eukaryota; Viridiplantae; Streptophyta; Lycopodiopsida; Selaginellales; Selaginellaceae
Description: rRNA LSU_rRNA_eukarya
Rfam family: Eukaryotic large subunit ribosomal RNA
Source: RNAcentral
UUGUGUCACAAUAAUAAUUCAACUUAAUACAAGAGGAACCGUUGAUUCACACAAUUGGUCAUUGCGCUUGGUUGAAAAGCCAGUGGCACAAAGCUACCAUGCGUGGGAUUAUGACUGAACACCUCUAAGUCAGAAUCUGUGCUAGAUGUGGCACUAUCUACCUCACGCGUUGUUACUUGAUCUUGGAAAGGGGUGGCACGUGCACCCCCGAGGACCUGUGCAUGUGCUUGCGGUUGACCUUGCCGCUUGUGUUGGACCGGUAAAUACAAACUGAACGGCUUCAGAGAUAAAUUCUUUGCAGACGACUUAAAUAAGGGACAGGGUAUUGUAAGUGGCAAAGUAGCCUUGCUACUAUGAUUUGCUGAGGUUCAUCCCACCUGUCUCCAAGAUUU